RNAcentral lists this long non-coding RNA (1899 nucleotides) under Pandoravirus celtis. RNAcentral describes it as "hypothetical ncRNA". The record is from RNAcentral.
CACGCGUCGGCCACGCAGAUGCCGGCGACAUUGUCACGCAGCCAUAAUAGCGCCUUUUUGCAUAGGAGGCUCCCGGCGAGCGCAUCGACGGCAGCCUGUGCGUGGCCGGUGCCGUAGCGCUCACACAAAAAGGCCACGGUCUGGUCGCCACCCCACCGCAGUGCCUCGACAAACACGGAUAGAUCGCACGUGUCGACGUACGCCGCGACAAGAGUCAUUGUCGUGGGGACCGGGGCGGUGGGGCCAUGGCCGGUGCGGGCAAUAUCCCCGGUCAAGGCCGCGCAGAGAGAGUUCCAGCGGUCAAACGGGGCAAUGCCUGCUUCGUGCAGGACCAAGGCUACGUCAAAGUGUCCACUCUCCAACGCCAGCCUGGCGGCGCCGACAGACAGGUUGUGUCGUGCGUCGGCCCUGCCCGCCAGCCAGCGUACAACGUUCUUGUGCCCUGCCGCGGCAGCAGCGUAGCCGAUCGCGAGCGUCGGCCAGCCGACCACCACAAUCGGCCGAUGCCCACCCGUGCCAUCAUUGUCAUUGCCGGGCUGAUCAUCCAUGCAUUGGGACAGCACGUCGAGGUGACCGGCGCGAGCGGCGGCGAUCAAAAACUCGACCGAAAGGGGGCCAAAGCCGAGAUUGCAAAGCAGGGCUGCACACGAGGCGUGGCCUCGCGACCCCAUGUCGACGAAGAUGCGCUGAAACUCGGUCGCAUAGCGGUGGCGAUGUUUGCAGAGACCAAAGGUAUCAUAAACCCAGCGAGCCACCUUGGCCGACCCUGUAUAUAGAGCACGCCAAAAGAGAUCGUUGGCAUCGCCGUCACUUGGGCUCGGUGGGUUACAACGACACCCGAGACCAUGCAGCCACGUGAUGACAUCGACUCGAUCGGCGUCCGCGGCCGCGAGACGCACUGUAUCAGAGCAUGUAAAACGGGUACUCGGGCAAUCGCCGUGGAUGCAGGCAAUAAUGUCAAAGGGGGUGCCGGACACAUGUAUGGCCUCGACCAAGAGAGACUCGACCAGGCGCGCGCUCGGACUGGGUGGAAGACCAAACACGGGGCGCUUCCAAUUGUCGAGGAGCCACACAAAGGCAUCGUGUUUCCCGCGGUUCAGGGACUCGUAGAGAGCGUCGACAAUGGGGCUGUCGUAUCCGAUAUCGGGUCGCACCCUCUUUUGGCCGGGUGCCAGGUUCGGGUCGUCUCUCUCGCGGCGCGCCCGCUUUGCCCCCGACGAGGAUGCCGGCGGAAAAGUGGCGACGUUACACACCCACUCGACCACAUCAAUCUGACCGCCGCGUGCCGCCGCGAUGACACAUUCACGCGGCACGUCGGUCAGGGCGCGGUCCUGUACCACGCGCUGGAUGACGCAAAGGGGGGCGCCGGCCUCUAAGAGACGCGGCCCCGUCACAUGGGCAAAGCGCGAUGCCGCAGCCUCCAAAACCGUCGUGUCGACAAGGGCAGAGCAGGUCGCCGCGCACGCGGCCAAGUCGCGUAGGCUCUCAAGGCAGCCCAGGAUGUGCGCGAUAAUUUCUGCAGGCAUGUCGGCCAGACUUGACGCUGCUGGUUGCCGGUCCGUCGUCAUUAUCGUCGUCAUCAUCGUCGCCAUUGCCACCGCUGUCCCCAAAUGUCUGGUGACGGUCGGCGCUCGUGCUCGGAAAAAAUUGUGCUUUUCGAUACAAAUACCACAGCCUUUGGGCGUGGGGUCUGGCCGGCGCUGGCUCUGGGCGCCAAUCCACCGCGAGGACACUGACCACCAGGAAUGGAUCAAAAAUGGGGGUUUGAAAACAGUCUUGAUGAAAAGGAUGAGAAUGCAAAAGGUGGGUCCUGAAGCCCGUGCAGGGCCGCGGCCUGCUUGCGUCCUCCUUUUUUUUUAAAAAAAUAAUUUGUCGGGCCUGUGCUUGAAUUAAAAAGAG